RNAcentral lists this transfer RNA (78 nucleotides) under bacterium. RNAcentral's name for it is "tRNA-Trp". It matches the Rfam family "tRNA". From Rfam's summary of the family: Transfer RNA (tRNA) molecules are approximately 80 nucleotides in length. Their secondary structure includes four short double-helical elements and three loops (D, anti-codon, and T loops). RNAcentral also lists the same sequence under 1 other name. The record is from RNAcentral.
AGGCCUGUAGCUCCAACUGGCUAGAGCGGCGGUCUCCAAAACCGUUUGUUGGGGGUUCAAAUCCCUCCAGGCCUGCCA